GUGCCCCCAGUGCUGCUCAGGGCAGCCGGGCUGUUCCCCAGCAGCCGGUGCCAUGGGCUGGGAGGAUGCUGGGGGGGUUGUGCUGCCAUGCUGCUCCCCCCAAGCUUGGUGCCACUGCACAGGUCCAGCACGGCAGCGCCAAGCCAGCCCCGAGGCCAGACCCCAUGCUGCACCCCAUGGGGGUCUCGCUGCCCACCCAGCACGUGCGCAAGGAGCCCCCCGAGCACCCACUGGCUCCGUGCAUGGCAAAGCCCAUCCUGGCCACGAGCACUGCCUGGAGGGGGGCUGGGGGUGGGCUCUGCCUGGGGAAACUGAGGCAUCGGGGGGGGGGGAGGCUCAGCCUGGAGCCGCGGCGCAGCCCCCCCGGCGCUCUGCCUGCCCCCGCUCCCGUGGCUCCCUGCUGCUCCCCCGGCCCUGCGCGCUGCAGCUGGGGGUCCCGGCCGGCAUUAACCCACCCCUCUCUGGCUGCUCCAAGUCCCCCAGAGGACCUCCCCCACAGGCCCCAAGAGCACGCAUAACCCGGCCCGCCUCAGCAACGUCCCCAGCAGCAUCCUCCGGAAAAACUCCCCCGCCACCCGCAACGGGGGCCCCGAGGCCGACGCGCAGAUCCUGGAGCUCAACCAGCAGGUGGGCAGGGCUGUGGGCACGGCAAGGGGCACGGGGGGGUCCCGGGGAGCCGCAGCCCCCUCGGCACAAACGCCGUCGUCUGCCCGCAGCUGAUGGAUCUGAAGCUGACAGUGGACGGGCUGGAGAAGGAGCGGGAUUUCUACUUCAGCAAGCUGCGGGACAUCGAGCUGAUCUGCCAGGAGCACGAGAACGAGAACAGCCCCAUCAUCACCGGCAUCGUCAGCGUCCUCUACGCCACGGAGGAGGGUUUCGCUCCGCCAGAGGACGACGAGCUGGAGGAGCAGCAGCCAGAGGACCAGGAUGAGUACUAGCCCCGGCACGCUCCCGCGCCCCGCGCCACCCUGCGCCGAUCCCCUCCAUAGACAUUCGAGGUCUGAGUCUGUGCGCCUCGCCCUGCACCGUCACGCACCAUCACAGCCUCCGGCCGAGCCGGCACGCUCGGCGUCCAGCAGCUCCGGUGGGAAGCCACUGUCUCCAUAAUAAAUAGAU
This 1116-nucleotide long non-coding RNA is filed under the name Anas platyrhynchos platyrhynchos (common mallard). RNAcentral's name for it is "lncRNA (ENSAPLG00000028245.1)". The record is from RNAcentral. Lineage: Eukaryota; Metazoa; Chordata; Aves; Anseriformes; Anatidae.